UUUUUUAAUUAGGGUAGCCCACAAAAUAUUGGGACAUACAAAAAAAGAAAUAUAGACAACACUGUUUAUAUAUAUAUAUAUAAAUAUAUAUAUAUAUAUAUAUAUAUAUAUAUAUAUAUAUAUAUAUAAAUUUUAAUUGGGGUAGCCCCCAAAAUAUUGGAAAAUAUAAAAAAAGACAACUCUGUUCCGCAGAGUAGCUGUUGACAUUAUAGUUGCGCAGGAACUUUGUUGACUCUAGAGAAUCCAGUUUGGCAGUUUCUGCGCCUAAUAUGGUGACCACGGGUAACGGGGAAUCAGGGUUCCAUUCCAUACAGGGACCCUGAGAAACGACUACCACGUGCAAGGAAGGCAGCAGGCGCGCAAAUGACCCACUCCCGAUGCGGGAAGGUAGUGACGACAAAUAACAAUACAGAACUCUUUAGAGGCCCUGUAAUUGUAAUGAGUCCACUUGAAAUCCUUUAACUCUGAUCAAUUGGAGGGAAGUCUGGUGCAGAGCCACUGACCUGUGCGUGCUGAAACUCCACUA
Non-coding RNA from Pelobates cultripes (western spadefoot toad), 526 nucleotides. The record is from the annotation of a GenBank genome assembly. NCBI's taxonomy places the organism in Eukaryota, Metazoa, Chordata, Amphibia, Anura, Pelobatidae.